Molecule: ribosomal RNA, 253 nt
Filed under: uncultured bacterium
Lineage: Bacteria
Description: partial 16S ribosomal RNA
Rfam family: Bacterial small subunit ribosomal RNA
Source: RNAcentral
UACAGAGGGUGCAAGCGUUGUUCGGAAUUAUUGGGCGUAAAGCGCGUGUAGGCGGCUUCGUAAGUUGGGUGUGAAAGCCCUCGGCUUAACCGAGGAAGUGCGCCCAAAACUGCGUGGCUUGAGUACCGGAGAGGAUGGCGGAAUUCCCGGUGUAGAGGUGAAAUUCGUAGAUAUCGGGAGGAACACCAGCGGCGAAGGCGGCCAUCUGGACGGAUACUGACGCUGAGACGCGAAAGCGUGGGGAGCAGACAGG